This is a non-coding RNA of Gorilla gorilla gorilla (western lowland gorilla), 148 nucleotides long. It matches the Rfam family "Metazoan signal recognition particle RNA". From Rfam's summary of the family: The signal recognition particle (SRP) is a universally conserved ribonucleoprotein. It is involved in the co-translational targeting of proteins to membranes. The eukaryotic SRP consists of a 300-nucleotide 7S RNA and six proteins: SRPs 72, 68, 54, 19, 14, and 9. Lineage: Eukaryota; Metazoa; Chordata; Mammalia; Primates; Hominidae. The record is from Rfam.
GCUGGGCGUGGUGGUGCACGCCUGUAAUCUCAGCUACUCAGGAGGCUGAGACAGAAGAAUUGCUUGAGUCUGGGGGUCAGAGGCUGCAGUGAGCCGAUAUCGUGCCACUGCACUUCAGCCUGGGCUACAGAGCCAGACUCCGUCUCAA